Peromyscus leucopus (white-footed mouse) is the source of this 612-nucleotide long non-coding RNA. RefSeq lists it as uncharacterized. The transcript has 4 exons. The record is from RefSeq and is a predicted model, not a curated record. Lineage: Eukaryota; Metazoa; Chordata; Mammalia; Rodentia; Cricetidae.
UCUGCAGUUUGACAUGCACAGCUCCCACACCCCAGCGGGGAAACCCUGUGGACGGUGAUGGUCCUCAGGAAGUCUGUAACUCACUGCACACUGAUAGCAGGGGAAAGCCAUCAUGUGUGUUACAAAACGAGGGAAAUAAUAAGGACCAGAGCACUAAUGAGGCACGGCCAGUUCCUGAUAAGGGAGACCCAGGAGACGUGUCCUGCUUCUUCCAUCUCAUGGCAACAUAGAGCAAAAUAACUCUAUAAGCUGGAAAGCUGGUUUCAACCAGAUGCCAACUUUUCCUUCAUCUUGGACUUCCUGGAGCAGAGAGAUUCCCUAAAAAUGUUACUGCCUCCAGACAGCUGGAAGUAAAUUUACAAUCACUAUACCCAAGAUUCCCAAGAGAUAGUCCAUCUUAUCUUUGAUUCUACAGCAUGGGACCUAGUCCAAACAGUUCAGAUGACAAUAUUAUGGGACUUGUAAAUGACCAGUCUCUGAUAUGCCCACUCCCACUCAUUUCUUAUAUCAUAUUUAUUUUUCUAAUUGGCAGCAUAAAGCCUUUUGUUCUAUGAUUUUGCUUUGUGUGGGAUAUUAAGAUUUUGAAUAAAUAUGACUUGCUUAUUAAGUAUA